AGUAAAGCUCCGGCGGUUUUGGAUGAGCCCGCGUCCUAUCAGGUUGUUGGUAAGGUAAUUGCUUACCAAGCCUAUGACGGGUAGCUGGUCUUAGCGGAUGACCAGCCAGACUGGGACUGUGACACGGCCCAGACUCCUACGGGAGGCAGCAACUAGGAAUCAUGCGCAAUGGACGAAAGUCUGACGCUGCGACGUCGCGUGGAGGAUUGACGGUCUUCGGAUUGUAAACUCCUUUUAUAUGGGAACAAGUUCUGAGUGUACCAUAUGAAUAAGUGCCUGCUAACCACGUGCCAGAAGCAUCGGUAAUACGUGGGGCACAAGCGUUAUCCGGGUUUACUGGGCGUAAAGAGAUGCGUAGGCGUCCCGAACAGUCUUGUGUUCACAUCUCCCCGCUCAACGGGGAAACCGCAUGACAAACUUUCGGGAUUGAGUCAGGUCCAGCAACCGCGGAAUUCCUGGUGGAGCGGUUACCUGCGUUGAUCUCAGGAGGAACACCAAUGGCGAAUGCACCCUUUUGGACCUAGACUUGACGCUACUGCUCGAAAGCCUGGGUAGCAAACCGGAUUACAUACCCGUGUAGUCCACGCCGUAAACGAUCCCUGGUAGAUGUUUGG
RNAcentral lists this ribosomal RNA (614 nucleotides) under uncultured organism. RNAcentral's name for it is "bacterial SSU rRNA". It matches the Rfam family "Bacterial small subunit ribosomal RNA", at positions 200 to 827 of the family's 1533-position model. The record is from RNAcentral.